RNAcentral lists this ribosomal RNA (253 nucleotides) under uncultured bacterium. RNAcentral describes it as "partial 16S ribosomal RNA". It matches the Rfam family "Bacterial small subunit ribosomal RNA", at positions 524 to 776 of the family's 1533-position model. The record is from RNAcentral.
UACGUAGGGUGCGAGCGUUGUCCGGAAUUAUUGGGCGUAAAGAGCUCGUAGGCGGUCUGUUGCGUCUGCUGUGAAAACCCGGGGCUUAACCCUGGGCUUGCAGUGGAUACGGACAGACUAGAGGUAGGUAGGGGAGAAUGGAAUUCCCGGUGUAGCGGUGAAAUGCGCAGAUAUCGGGAGGAACACCGGUGGCGAAGGCGGUUCUCUGGGCCUUACCUGACGCUGAGGAGCGAAAGCGUGGGGAGCGAACAGG